RNAcentral lists this ribosomal RNA (216 nucleotides) under Glomeromycotina sp. RNAcentral describes it as "partial small subunit ribosomal RNA". The stretch from base 40 to 216 matches the Rfam family "Eukaryotic small subunit ribosomal RNA", at positions 686 to 864 of the family's 1831-position model. The record is from RNAcentral. Lineage: Eukaryota; Fungi; Glomeromycota.
GGGUCAGGAGGUUGGUCGUGCCACCGGUACGUACUGGUCUCACUGAUUCCUCCUUCCUGAAGAACCGUAAUGCCAUUAAUUUGGUGUUGCGGGGAAACAGGACUGUUACUUUGAAAAAAUUAGAGUGUUUAAAGCAGGCUAACGCUUGAAUACAUUAGCAUGGAAUAAUGAAAUAGGACGAUCGAUCCUAUUUUGUUGGUUUCUAGGAUUGACGUA